RNAcentral lists this ribosomal RNA (690 nucleotides) under Arthrobacter sp. RNAcentral's name for it is "bacterial SSU rRNA". It matches the Rfam family "Bacterial small subunit ribosomal RNA", at positions 331 to 1021 of the family's 1533-position model. Lineage: Bacteria; Bacillati; Actinomycetota; Actinomycetes; Micrococcales; Micrococcaceae. The record is from RNAcentral.
UUUUACUCCUUACGGGAGGCAGCAGUGGGGAAUAUUGCACAAUGGGCGAAAGCCUGAUGCAGCGACGCCGCGUGAGGGAUGACGGCCUUCGGGUUGUAAACCUCUUUCAGUAGGGAAGAAGCCCUCUUUGGGGGUGACGGUACUUGCAGAAGAAGCGCCGGCUAACUACGUGCCAGCAGCCGCGGUAAUACGUAGGGCGCAAGCGUUAUCCGGAAUUAUUGGGCGUAAAGAGCUUGUAGGCGGUUUGUCGCGUCUGCUGUGAAAGACCGGGGCUCAACUCCGGUUCUGCAGUGGGUACGGGCAGACUAGAGUGCAGUAGGGGAGACUGGAAUUCCUGGUGUAGCGGUGAAAUGCGCAGAUAUCAGGAGGAACACCGAUGGCGAAGGCAGGUCUCUGGGCUGUAACUGACGCUGAGGAGCGAAAGCAUGGGGAGCGAACAGGAUUAGAUACCCUGGUAGUCCAUGCCGUAAACGUUGGGCACUAGGUGUGGGGGACAUUCCACGUUUUCCGCGCCGUAGCUAACGCAUUAAGUGCCCCGCCUGGGGAGUACGGCCGCAAGGCUAAAACUCAAAGGAAUUGACGGGGGCCCGCACAAGCGGCGGAGCAUGCGGAUUAAUUUGAUGCAACGCGAAGAACCUUACCAAGGCUUGACAUGGACCGGAAAGACCCUGAAACCAGGUGCCCCCGCUG